This 497-nucleotide ribosomal RNA is filed under the name uncultured bacterium. RNAcentral describes it as "partial 16S ribosomal RNA". It matches the Rfam family "Bacterial small subunit ribosomal RNA", at positions 28 to 507 of the family's 1533-position model. The record is from RNAcentral.
GAUGAACGCUGGCGGCGUGCCUAAUACAUGCAAGUCGAGCGAACGGACGAGAAGCUUGCUUCUCUGAUGUUAGCGGCGGACGGGUGAGUAACACGUGGAUAACCUACCUAUAAGACUGGGAUAACUUCGGGAAACCGGAGCUAAUACCGGAUAAUAUUUUGAACCGCAUGGUUCAAAAGUGAAAGACGGUCUUGCUGUCACUUAUAGAUGGAUCCGCGCUGCAUUAGCUAGUUGGUAAGGUAACGGCUUACCAAGGCAACGAUGCAUAGCCGACCUGAGAGGGAGAUCGGCCACACUGGAACUGAGACCCGGUCCAGACUCCUACGGGAGGCAGCAGUAGGGAAUCUUCCGCAAGGGGCGAAAGCCUGACGGAGCAACGCCGCGUGAGUGAGGAAGGUCUUCGGAUCGUAAAACUCUGUUAUUAGGGAAGAACAAAUGUGUAAGUAACUGUGCACGUCUUGACGGUACCUAAUCAGAAAGCCACGGCUAACUACGUG